RNAcentral lists this ribosomal RNA (480 nucleotides) under Salmonella enterica subsp. enterica serovar Enteritidis. Its description in RNAcentral is "partial 23S ribosomal RNA". It matches the Rfam family "Bacterial large subunit ribosomal RNA", at positions 2202 to 2681 of the family's 2925-position model. Lineage: Bacteria; Pseudomonadati; Pseudomonadota; Gammaproteobacteria; Enterobacterales; Enterobacteriaceae. The record is from RNAcentral.
ACCCUUUAAUGUUUGAUGUUCUAACGUGGACCCGUUACCCGGGUUGCGGACAGUGUCUGGUGGGUAGUUUGACUGGGGCGGUCUCCUCCUAAAGAGUAACGGAGGAGCACGAAGGUUGGCUAAUCCUGGUCGGACAUCAGGAGGUUAGUGCAAUGGCAUAAGCCAGCUUGACUGCGAGCGUGACGGCGCGAGCAGGUGCGAAAGCAGGUCAUAGUGAUCCGGUGGUUCUGAAUGGAAGGGCCAUCGCUCAACGGAUAAAAGGUACUCCGGGGAUAACAGGCUGAUACCGCCCAAGAGUUCAUAUCGACGGCGGUGUUUGGCACCUCGAUGUCGGCUCAUCACAUCCUGGGGCUGAAGUAGGUCCCAAGGGUAUGGCUGUUCGCCAUUUAAAGUGGUACGCGAGCUGGGUUUAGAACGUCGUGAGACAGUUCGGUCCCUAUCUGCCGUGGGCGCUGGAGAACUGAGGGGGGCUGCUCCUAG